Molecule: ribosomal RNA, 423 nt
Filed under: uncultured bacterium
Lineage: Bacteria
Description: bacterial SSU rRNA
Rfam family: Bacterial small subunit ribosomal RNA
Source: RNAcentral
AAGACCUUGCACUUUUGGAGCGGCCGAUGUCUGAUUAGCUAGUUGGUGGGGUAAUGGCCUACCAAAGCUUCGAUCAGUAGCUGGUCUGAGAGGACGGCCGGCCACACUGGGACUGAGACACGGCCCAGACUCCUACGGGAGGCAGCAGUGGGGAAUUUUGGACAAUGGGCGCAAGCCUGAUCCAGCCAUGCCGCGUGAGUGAAGAAGGCCUUCGGGUUGUAAAGCUCUUUCAGCCGGGAAGAAAAGGUUGCGACUAAUAAUCGCAAUUCAUGACGGUACCGAAAGAAGAAGCACCGGCUAACUACGUGCCAGCAGCCGCGGUAAUACGUAGGGUGCGAGCGUUAAUCGGAAUUACUGGGCGUAAAGGGUGCGCAGGCGGUUUUGUAAGUCAGAUGUGAAKUCCCCGGGCUUAACCUGGGAACU